RNAcentral lists this long non-coding RNA (365 nucleotides) under Nicotiana benthamiana. RNAcentral describes it as "long non-coding RNA (NBEN_LNC003715)". Lineage: Eukaryota; Viridiplantae; Streptophyta; Magnoliopsida; Solanales; Solanaceae. The record is from RNAcentral.
UUUUUCCAAAUCCUACCGAUACGAACCUUUAACUUCCAAUUCAUUGACUUGUUGUUAAUUUUACUAACGAAAUUGAUAUCAGCCGUCAUUAUAUCCUGAAAUAGACAGAGAAAUUUGUAAAUAUAAGUAGAAACUAAACCUGCACAAAAAUAUCUGUUAAAUGAAUACAAUUCCAUCAUGGAAUAAAGAUUGUUCAUGAAAUACAAAUCAUACAAAUUACCUCUUGUAGUCUAGAGUUACUGUUUGAUAUAGACGUGAUGGAGAAAUAACAAAACUAUAUACUGUAAAAAUAGAACUGAUUUGAUAAAAAUGUGAAAUCAAUCUUGGGCAGAAGAGUUCGUGGGUAAGGAGUUGAUAUGUUGGUG